Molecule: long non-coding RNA, 1119 nt
Filed under: Crocodylus porosus (Australian saltwater crocodile)
Lineage: Eukaryota; Metazoa; Chordata; Crocodylia; Crocodylidae
Description: lncRNA (ENSCPRG00005004923.1)
Source: RNAcentral
CGUGUAGCGGCAGAGCCGAGGGGACGGGGGUGGCGCUGCCCUCCGCCCCGCUGGGCUGCAGCAGGCAGGCACCGUGAGCCAGCCCCUGCCAUGCAUCUGAGCAGCAGCAGCAGCAGCAGCAGCAGCAGCAUCCAGCUCCCUCCCGCGCCCUCCUCCUCCGUCUCCCGCGGCCGCCGCUGCGCCGGGCUCCUCGCUGCUGCCUCUGCAUGGAGAAGUUGCAGCCUUUGCGAAGCCCCGGCUGAGCCCUGAGACGCUGCCGCCGCCGCCGCCUCGGAGGAGGGGAGGGCGGGGAGGGGGCGCGGGCGAGCCGCUCUCCCAAGCAUGAACUGAUCGCCUGCCCCAGCGCUGGCUGGUGGCGGCGCGGAGCUGCGAGCCCCCAUGCCUCUGGGGCUGGCCCGCCCCGAGCUGCCGCCGCGGGAGCCUCGCGCUUGGCACGGGCGGAGCGAAGGCAGCGGCCCCCGUUGCUGCUGCUGCUGCUGCAGAGGCGGCCGCCGCCGCUAGCCGCCGCGGAGCCGCUCCUCAUGCCCGGCGCUCGCCCGCCGUCUGACCGGAGAGGGCCGGGCCCGACGGGGGGCACCGGAGUGCGAGCCAUGGGGUAUUGCAGCGGCCGGUGCACGCUCCUCUUCCUCUGUGGCAUGCAACUGUUUUAAAAAUGAUGACUUUCGGAAAGACUUCCCUCCCUGACUCCAAGACAAGGUGGCGGAGAAAGGAGAAGCAAGGAAGAAGGGGCAGGCAAAGUCCCUGCUAUGGAGGCAAGAAUGAGAUACCCUGAGACAGGGGAAAGGAGAAUUGGCUGUGGCAUGGAAGACCAUAAUUUGGGGAAAGUGUGUGUGGGGGGGGGGGCAGGAAGGAAUGUGUAAAUGGCAAGAGUAAAAUGGAGAGUAUGCAGCAACCAUGCCUUAGCAGAAGGGAUACAUCGAGCUCUAAACAUGGAAGUGAAGAAGAGAAUGGGGAGGAGGAGUGUGGAAGAUACAGAGCACUUGGCAUGAUUGAGAAGUAUCGGAGUCUGACCCACUGCACUCUAAGGAAGAAAUUCAGGACAUAUUGUUCCCAGAGGAUUUCUUUGAUACUGUGGUCAAAAGAGUCAUAAAAAAUUUAGAGCUUCAGCAGGAACAGAAG